CAGUGAAAUUGAACUCGCUGUGAAGAUGCAGUGUACCCGCGGCAAGACGGAAAGACCCCGUGAACCUUUACUAUAGCUUGACACUGAACAUUGAGCCUUGAUGUGUAGGAUAGGUGGGAGGCUUUGAAGUGUGGACGCCAGUCUGCAUGGAGCCGACCUUGAAAUACCACCCUUUAAUGUUUGAUGUUCUAACGUGGACCCGUGAUCCGGGUUGCGGACAGUGUCUGGUGGGUAGUUUGACUGGGGCGGUCUCCUCCUAAAGAGUAACGGAGGAGCACGAAGGUUGGCUAAUCCUGGUCGGACAUCAGGAGGUUAGUGCAAUGGCAUAAGCCAGCUUGACUGCGAGCGUGACGGCGCGAGCAGGUGCGAAAGCAGGUCAUAGUGAUCCGGUGGUUCUGAAUGGAAGGGCCAUCGCUCAACGGAUAAAAGGUACUCCGGGGAUAACAGGCUGAUACCGCCCAAGAGUUCAUAUCGACGGCGGUGUUUGGCACCUCGAUGUCGGCUCAUCACAUCCUGGGGCUGAAGUAGGUCCCAAGGGUAUGGCUGUUCGCCAUUUAAAGUGGUACGCGAGCUGGGUUUAGAACGUCGUGAGACAGUUCGGUCCCUAUCUGCCGUGGGCGCUGGAGAACUGAGGGGGGCUGCUCCUAGUACGAGAGGACCGGAGUGGACGCAUCACUGGUGUUCGGGUUGUCAUGCCAAUGGCACUGCCCGGUAGCUAAAUGCGGAAGAGAUAAGUGCUGAAAGCAUCUAAGCACGAAACUUGCCCCGAGAUGAGUUCUCCCUGACCCUUUAAGGGUCCUGAAGGAACGUUGAAGACGACGACGUUGAUAGGCCGGGUGUGUAAGCGCAGCGAUGCGUUGAGCUAACCGGUACUAAUGAACCGUGAGGCUUAACCUUACAACGCCGAAGGUGUUU
This 915-nucleotide ribosomal RNA is filed under the name Escherichia coli. RNAcentral describes it as "partial 23S ribosomal RNA". It matches the Rfam family "Bacterial large subunit ribosomal RNA", at positions 2034 to 2925 of the family's 2925-position model. RNAcentral also lists the same sequence under 1 other name. Lineage: Bacteria; Pseudomonadati; Pseudomonadota; Gammaproteobacteria; Enterobacterales; Enterobacteriaceae. The record is from RNAcentral.